GAUGAACGCUAGCGACAGGCCUAACACAUGCAAGUCGAGGGGCAGCACGUUUGGUAGCAAUACGAAAUGGUGGCGACCGGCGCACGGGUGCGUAACAGGUGUGCAAUCUGUCCAUAAUCGGGGAAUAGCCCGGCGAAAGUUGGAUUAACGCUCCAUGUGAGUUUGAGAGGCAUCUCUUGAAUUUGAAACGUUACGGAUUAUGGGUGAGCACGCUUCUGAUUAGAUAGUUGGUAGGGUAACGGCCUACCAAGUCGACGAUCAGUAGGGGUUCUGAGAGGAAGGUCCCCCACAUUGGAACUGAGACACGGUCCAA
Molecule: ribosomal RNA, 313 nt
Filed under: uncultured bacterium
Lineage: Bacteria
Description: bacterial SSU rRNA
Rfam family: Bacterial small subunit ribosomal RNA
Source: RNAcentral